AUUAGUACGCAUCGCCGCCACGAGGCGUCGGAUCUGCGAGCUACGAGUGAGGAACCGCGAGCCGAUUACUAGUAUCGCAAUUUUAUUUAGCAUUAUUUGCGGAACGGCAUGUGAGGAAGAUACGUUCCCCAUAUUGUUAUUCAACUUUGCAGCCCUUUGCGACCUUUGUAUCAACCACCGACUUAAAUAUCCCCCCAAUUAUAGGUAUCCACCGACUGUACGAAAGGAUUCAAAGGUGAAAGAGCACGAUUGGAGAAUGGCUCAUGCUACGUCGGACUUGAUAUGGAUCGAACGGGGACGUACUACAAAAGGUUGUCGACACUGACAAGUAUGGAAGAUCUAAAGCCGCCAUCAAACGGCGUCGGAACCGACGCCGGGAAAGGGACGGAGGGCGAGCAAUAGAAUCUAGAAGUCCCGUAAUAGAGGUUAUGGGUGCAACGCGUCGGGUAUCGUAGGUUAGUGUGUCCGAGGCAAGAUGACGUCGUCAUGGUUCUGACUCGGUACGCCGACUAUAUCCAAUCCGGUAAGUUCAAGGAGAGCAGACUGGCAUGUUGGGAGACGUGUGUUGAAAAGGAGACAGACAACUGUAGAAGAAGAAAGAGAAAGAGAGAGAAAGAGACGCAGUAAGAAGUGAACCAGGAGAAAGAACUUAUGGCUGCCAAGCUACAGCUAUUAAAAAUACUGUUCUGUUCUGUUCCGUGGCGUUGAAGUCAAAGAAGAAAAUAAAACUGUGCGGCCUUGGACUCCCUCCACCAAUCACAACGUCCCCUGCGACAGCGUCACCUCCUCCUCCACCAAUAACGUUCCUGGCGUUACGUCGCAACUUUAGGAACCCGCGCGCCGCGUAUCCUAAACCCGCUGUACAACUUAACGCUCGCCACGGCUGGCCUCUUUUCCAUCCAUUUGUACUGACUUUUAGGUGAAACGCGACAAGAUGAUAUGCAGAGUACAGAGAGACGCGCAGAUUCAUUGUAAAUUCUAUAAAAUUGCACUCGUGUCUAUUUCAGCCAAUGACUCCAUUUAGCUUAUUUGUCUCUAUGUAAGAUCCUCUAAGAAUGUUUCCUUGAUGUAACAUUAGAUCCUUUAUCGGAGUUA
Long non-coding RNA from Cephus cinctus (wheat stem sawfly), 1095 nucleotides. RefSeq lists it as uncharacterized. NCBI's taxonomy places the organism in Eukaryota, Metazoa, Arthropoda, Insecta, Hymenoptera, Cephidae. The transcript is spliced from 3 exons. The record is from RefSeq and is a predicted model, not a curated record.